UUGCGUAGGUGGUUUGUUAAGUAGGUAGUGAAAUCUGGCGGCUCAACCGUACAGGCUAUUACCUAAACUGGCAGACUCGAGAAUGGUAGAGGUCACUGGAAUUUCUUGUGUAGGAGUGAAAUCCGUAGAUAUAAGAAGGAACACCAAUGGCGUAGGCAGGUGACUGGACCAUUUCUGACACUGAGGCACGAAAGCGUGGGGAGCGAACG
This 209-nucleotide ribosomal RNA is filed under the name uncultured bacterium. Its description in RNAcentral is "partial 16S ribosomal RNA". It matches the Rfam family "Bacterial small subunit ribosomal RNA", at positions 567 to 774 of the family's 1533-position model. The record is from RNAcentral.